This 73-nucleotide transfer RNA is filed under the name Perkinsus olseni. RNAcentral's name for it is "tRNA-Arg". The record is from RNAcentral. Lineage: Eukaryota; Perkinsozoa; Perkinsida; Perkinsidae.
GUCCGAUUAGUUCAGCUGGAUAGAAUGUCUGCCUACGGAACAGAUGGUCGUAGGAUCGAUGCUGCAUCAGGUA